GAGAUAGUAAUACAAGAUCUGCUACAAGACCUUGUGUAAUCAGAUCUCCAUCCUUAAAUGGCUGCAAAAGAAGUACCAAGAAUAUUAAUAGGUCUGGUGGGGAUUGGCAGAAAUGAAGGGCCAAGGGUCUGUGAGGCCGUCGAUCCAGAUGGCAUUUGUUGCUUAUGGUGCUCACCAUAUCAAGUCUUCUUGGGAAAUGAAUAUUAUCCUCUUCCUACUUGAAGAUUUUGGACCCUGUUGGUCAUCAGCACUGCAGAGUCUCUGUAGUGGCAGCUUAUUCCCUCUCUUCAAAAAACAGGUUUGUUUCGCCAGACACGCUUCAUCAACGGGAUAGAGAUGAGGCCAUUAUCGAGAAAAAUAAUUGAAGCGUUAAAGUUCCAUAAAGGGCGAUCAUAGAUGUCAUCCGUCAAUUCAUCUGUCUAUCCCAAGAUGCAAGUCAACACGAUUGCAGUGAAACAUCAGAUGCCUCUAAUUUAAAAAAAAAAAAAAAAAAUCUUUUGUUGAUUGCCGAGACCUGGACGACGGAUUGCCCACUGGGAUUUUAAAGAUCUAUAACCAAAUCUCCCACAAGUGUCGGCAUUAAAAAGCCCUCUCUGUUGGUUUUGAAUGAAUACAGUUGAUUAUUCACAGAGCGCCAAACCAUGAUUACAAUCAGGAUGUAUUACUGUGAUCAACACGGUAUGACAUUCAAUCAGGGGUUUUAAUCGGGAGAAUGAAUGAUAGCAAUCAGGUUGUUAGAGCCAAAUAGUCUAUUCUUGACAGAAAUCCACACUAUAUUUACCGCAAGCUAUGAUAAGGAAUAAAAUAUGACUUAAUUAUGGUCUGUUUUGAAAAUAGCUUGUUGUUCAAAAGUCAAGAAUUAAUUAAUGUCAAAAAGAUAAAAUAUUUUUAAUUAAAAAGAAUUUAUGACACCACCAUCCUUGUUAAGUCCUAGAAAGCCAACACAGUCCGAUAAUCUGAGGAUGAAAACAUUUUCAGAGACCAUAAUGUGAAUGAUUAUUUUCUUAGAGGACACUAGAGAAGGACAAAUGAAAUCUAUUCACACACUUCCAUUCACUCUAUUGUCAUUUACUGUAUGUGUUUUUGUCUUCAUCCUGGAAAUACUUCUGCACUGUGAGACUCAAUAUGCCACCUGUCUCCCUCACUUGCCUUUUAUCAAAAUUCUUUCUAUGAAAAACAAAUUAUUUGAAUGAUCUUACGUCGACUCUCUCGGCAAAAUGUCUAAGCUGUUAUGGGCCAAGCUCUGUCUGGAUCAGAAGCUAAAUAAACAUGCCUGUAGAACAGGGAAUCCACUAAGCUAUAACAACCCGAUCUCACGGCAAUUCGUACGAAUUUUA
Molecule: non-coding RNA, 1337 nt
Organism: Pimephales promelas (fathead minnow)
Lineage: Eukaryota; Metazoa; Chordata; Actinopteri; Cypriniformes; Leuciscidae
Source: RefSeq, a predicted model, not a curated record